This is a long non-coding RNA of Empidonax traillii (willow flycatcher), 3708 nucleotides long. RefSeq lists it as uncharacterized. NCBI's taxonomy places the organism in Eukaryota, Metazoa, Chordata, Aves, Passeriformes, Tyrannidae. The record is from RefSeq and is a predicted model, not a curated record. The transcript has 5 exons.
GCCAGCCUCUACCGCUGCUUCCCCCCCAUCCCCGCCGCGCUAAGGGAGGCGGCGGGGUCUGAACCGUCGCCCGCUGCGGGCAGCGCCGCCGUGAGGGUCUGCCCCGCCACCGGGCCCUGCCGUUACCUGGGAGAGCCGGGGAAGACCUAGAGAGGGGGAAUCGCACCCUAUGCCCAGGACCUGUGUGGAAGGGUUCCAUGGUCACUGCUGUGUCAGUGAUGAGUAUCAGUGCACACUGCAUGGCACCCCACAAUGCUGAAGAGGAGACAGUGCUGAGGACCUGCUCAAAUACACCUAUCCCAGACCUCACCUGCUUUGUGCUGGAGAUCCUGUCACUUUGCUGAAGUGAUGUAGAGGAGAAAAAACGUGAUGGAGGUCAAGUUCAGCAAUACACGGCAAUACACAGUCUGGACUAUGAAGGGAGCUAUUUUUAACCUGGAUGUGUUCUGCGAUUUGUUUCCCACACAGCAUUGAAACUGGCACAGCUGAGAGAUAGGCAUCAAUGAAGUUGUACCAUGAGGCCCAAGGGCAACCAGGAGACACUUCAGGGCUUCAGGAUGGUUGCUUAAGGGGUCAGGAGCACAGACGCUUAAAUUAGCAAGACUUUUUCUUUUCCAGUUAUCUAAAUAACUUUCCCUGUGAACUGAACUGCUUCCUCUGGAUAAUACAUUGUUUUUCUACCUGCUGGAGAGGUGGAGUCCCCCUGAAUGUACUGCUGUUCUGCAUAACUGGGAACUGUCUCCUUAAUGCAGAGUAAGACAGAACAGCUUGGACUUAGUGGUCCUGUGAGAUUUACAAAUCAAACCAGCUAAUCAAGAUUUAAAACAGCUCUGGAUUGAAAAGGCUAGCAAGUGGUCUAGCUGUGAGUUAAUUCAUUAGUUGCAGUAAAUAUCACUAGAAGAGCUUGUCAAAAGGAAAUGUGAAGCAGCUGAAAAGAAUCAUCCUUAAAGUGAAUGUCAGAGGCUUUUGCAGCUGUCAUCCAGUGGACUGGAGAUUCCAGGCAUUGGGGAGAAAAUGAGGGUGAAAGAAAUAAAAAUUUGAGUACAGAGGAUAAAGUACUAGUUCCCACUGAGUGAUUAUAAAGGAAGCAAUCUCACCACUACAGGGACCUAAUUAGAGACUGAAUCUCACAACCCUCUAAUGUUUCCUCCAGGACUCUGAGAAACUCAAACUAGCUAAACGCAGUCUGCUCAGACCAGCAGCAGGAGGAGGCUCUGCUGCUUCAGGGCACACUGGAAUGCCACUUUUAUGCAGCUAUGGGCAUUUCCAGUGUUCUUGUGUCCUGUUCAGCACUCACCUAGAACCAGAUCAGCAACAUUGUUUUCUUGCCUGGCCAGCACAGAAUCAUCCUGGUGCUACAGAAGGCAACAAUGGGCUUCCACUGACGCAUACCUGAGUAUCCCUGAGGAAAGGCAUCAGGACCCAUGGUCCCAGGCUAAUAUAAGAGUUAGUUGUCAGCAUUAAAAAAAAAGAGAAUUUCAGGUUUUUAUGACUGAUCUGAUGAAUCACUAUUUUUCUUGCUGCCCAAACUGUGUAGAUCAGGUGCAAGUCCUCAGGCCAUCCUGGAGACGCCAAGUGCUGUCAGUCAGGGCUUGUGUGUAUCCAUUCACUUAAGCCUGGGUGCAGGGCUCAGCUCUCCCACCUCGAUCCACCUAUUGCCUGUCUGAGACAGUGUUACCCUGCUCCCCAUCCUUGUGGAAAUGUGGAAACAUUGGCCAUAGUUUGAGGCUAAACUUUGGCAGCAAUGCCCACUGCUCUCUCCUCCUUCCAGACUCUCUAGCUGCUCCCUCUAAGUUCUGGGCUGCAGUGCAUCACCUCAUCAUUGAUGUGCCAAGCAGGGAACUCCCUGACUUAGGUUUUUUCUUUGUUUGGUGAUUUCUUCUAAACAGCAACAAGUUUUUGCUGGAUUUUAUUUAUGACUGAUCAGUUGUGGACCCUGGUCCUCGGUAUUUCCCUUCUGGUGCCAGAAAGCACUGGAACAGAGCCGUGCUCUGGGGUCAGCAGUGGGGUCAGCAAGGAGGAAUUAUUUUGCCUGCUAUUGCCAUGAAAGGCACAUUUAAUGUAACCUUGUCCCCACAGAGUGAUUCUGUGCAAGUGAGGCUUCAGGGGAGUGCAGGGAUCUCUUCCAGUGUUACUACUAGUAGCAGUCGCAUUUUUCUGUAGCAGGAUUUUCCAGGCAUAGGGAAGGUCUGUGCCUUCUGAGACCACUCAGGUAGUUCAGCACUCCUGGGGAGAAGAGGGCUAACUGCUCAGGAUGUGCAGAUUCAUCGUGUUUACAGGGAUAGUGGUUUAGGGGUCUCUUCUGAAGCUGAGAAAAGGUAAGUGACCUGAGAGAGCUCAGCCAAUAUCUGACAAGGACAUUUUCAUAACUGAGAUAAAUAAACAGAUGCCUUUUUUGCUCUAGGGAGAUAAUUUCUUCUGUGUUACUAGCCUGAGACCACUCGCUUGGCUUAGCCUGUAUUUUUACCAUAUGAAACAAGCCUGAACCAAUUCAUUUGAGGUUGUUAUUAAUUUGGGUCAAUAUGAAAUAUUUCUGGCAUUUCUUUUCCAUUUUCUGGCCUUUGUAUUUUACUGUGUGUAUGUUUUCUUCUCUUACUUCUCAGUUCUCCUCUCUGGUAAUAUUUUAAGUCCUUAAUUGACUGAUGCUGCAGAUGGAGAGUAUUAGUUACCUUCCAUGACCACUCUGACCACAAUGACUUCCUUUGCUUGACAAGCUGAUUAAUUUGUCAAGGUGAAUGUUUAAGUCUGUCUGAAGUAUCUCUGUGUAUCUUGUGCAAGAUUGCAGUUUCAAGUUCGUUCCUUAUUGGACAUGUUGUUUCUCCAGACCCAGAAUACCUUUGAGGGCCUUUUCUUCCCCCAGUUCCCUACUGAGAGUGAUGCUCCUGCAGUUUAUACCAAUGAUCAUAUCCUGCAUGUCCCCUAGAAGAAGGUAGAUAGCAGGUGCAGCAUGGAAGCCAUAGCAUCAGCAGUGCUUUCAGAUUGUCCAGUGGAUGUAACUGAGGGAAAACAGGAAAACUCAAGUAAAUUAAAUGCAUUUUAUAGUAGUUCCUGAGGGAGAACAGAUUGCAUCGUUUGUGAGCUUCAAUCCAGGUUAAGCAGGCUGGAUCUUUCACAGAGAAGUUGCUGACUUUGUCCCCAAAAUAUCAUUGUUAAGAAAAGAAAAAUAUCCAAAUUUCUCUUAAUUUUUCCUAGUUGGUACACUAUAAAGGCAUUCAGACCACUAUAGACAUAAGAAUUCAGGAAACAACACUAAGCAACACAAAGAACAAAAAACAGUAGGUACUUCCUGAGCAGAUUGAAAAACUGAAUCCUAUUCCAGUGAAUGCUUAGGGAGAGUAAGUCCUAAUAGGUACAGUAGCCACAUGUCACCUAGGACCAGAGUGUGAACAAUUCUUUUGUAAUAUUACUUGAUGAAUGUCUCAACAUCUUGAGCUCGUUGCAGAAGAGAAAAGAAAAACUGGCCAGUGUUAUUUUCUGGUGGUACUGGAACAAUAAUUUCUCUAACCCUCUGUGGUGGUAUCCAACUGUCUUGGAUAUCUGAGCGGGCAGGUCAAAGGAAAGCAAUGUGUAGACUUGAUUUUUGAAAGCGCCUUUUUCCAGUAAGUGUGAACUUCAUUUCCUUUUAGGAAUAAUAUUUUUUCCUGGCAUAUUGUACCAAAAAUAAUAAAAUAAACAAAUGCAUGGUAUACUUGUAAGAUGAACCUCAGA